Neogale vison (American mink) is the source of this 205-nucleotide long non-coding RNA. RefSeq lists it as uncharacterized. The transcript is spliced from 3 exons. The record is from RefSeq and is a predicted model, not a curated record. Lineage: Eukaryota; Metazoa; Chordata; Mammalia; Carnivora; Mustelidae.
AGAGAAACACACUCCACCGCUUCAAGGCCAAUCACAAAAAGAAUCACAUGGACUUAAUUGAAGGUAUCUGGAGGGAGUUUUUAGAUCCUUUCGAUGGCGAUUCAGAAGAUCCCCCCGGUCACCUGGCCUCCAGCCACAGUGACUGUUCUCCAGGUGACGCGAAUGGUACUGGGCCUUCCCACGCGCUCCGGUGCGGGCGUCCGGG